AGACAGACUAGCUGGCAUUAAAGACCAUUCAUCAAUAUAAUAUUUCCCUCUUCUCCACACAUCACACUUCAGCUAAAAGUUUCACACACAAACAACAUAAACAGCAAACAAUUUAAGGAUCCUGCUCAAAAACCAUGUAUCUUGAUUUGAUCCUUCUUGACGAGGCCAGCCUGAACAAGGAACUGAGAGACGUUCUUGCGCUGAUCGCCUUGAAGUUGGAUUAUCUUCCCCAGCUCUUUAUCCUGAACAACAUUCCCGUUGCAACAGAAGUCCUUCUUCAGGUCCUUAAGGAUCUUAUCAUAGCUGAACUCUUUCUUAAGCCCUUGAACUGUCGUUAGACACUUCUUUCCAUUCCUCUGUUGGACCCUUAUAUGGACGUAUUCUUUGGUUCCGGGGGCAUCCGAGUCUUUGGCGUCAGCAAAGGGAUCGA
Molecule: unclassified non-coding RNA, 430 nt
Filed under: Hevea brasiliensis (rubber tree)
Lineage: Eukaryota; Viridiplantae; Streptophyta; Magnoliopsida; Malpighiales; Euphorbiaceae
Source: RNAcentral